RNAcentral lists this ribosomal RNA (490 nucleotides) under uncultured bacterium. RNAcentral's name for it is "partial 16S ribosomal RNA". It matches the Rfam family "Bacterial small subunit ribosomal RNA", at positions 30 to 507 of the family's 1533-position model. The record is from RNAcentral.
AUUGAACGCUGGCGGCAGGCCUAACACAUGCAAGUCGAACGGUAACAGAAAGCAGCUUGCUGCUUUGCUGACGAGUGGCGGACGGGUGAGUAAUGACUGGGAAACUGCCUGAUGGAGGGGGAUAACUACUGGAAACGGUAGCUAAUACCGCAUAACGUCGCAAGACCAAAGAGGGGGACCUUCGGGCCUCUUGCCAUCGGAUGUGCCCAGAUGGGAUUAGCUAGUAGGUGGGGUAAAGGCUCACCUAGGCGACGAUCCCUAGCUGGUCUGAGAGGAUGACCAGCCACACUGGAACUGAGACACGGUCCAGACUCCUACGGGAGGCAGCAGUGGGGAAUAUUGCACAAUGGGCGCAAGCCUGAUGCAGCCAUGCCGCGUGUAUGAAGAAGGCCUUCGGGUUGUAAAGUACUUUCAGCGGGGAGGAAGGGAGUAAAGUUAAUACCUUUGCUCAUUGACGUUACCCGCAGAAGAAGCACCGGCUAACUCCGUG